Molecule: ribosomal RNA, 2878 nt
Filed under: Stenotrophomonas maltophilia
Lineage: Bacteria; Pseudomonadati; Pseudomonadota; Gammaproteobacteria; Lysobacterales; Lysobacteraceae
Description: 23S ribosomal RNA
Rfam family: Bacterial large subunit ribosomal RNA
Source: RNAcentral
UCAAGCGAAUAAGCGCACACGGUGGAUGCCUUGGCGGUCAGAGGCGAUGAAGGACGUGGCAGCCUGCGAAAAGUAUCGGGGAGCUGGCAACAAGCUUUGAUCCGGUAAUGUCCGAAUGGGGAAACCCACCCGCUUGCGGGUAUCCUGCAGUGAAUACAUAGCUGCUGGAAGCGAACCUGGUGAACUGAAAUAUCUAAGUAACCAGAGGAAAAGAAAUCAACCGAGAUUCCGUAAGUAGCGACGAGCGAACGCGGACUAGCCCUUAAGCUGAUUUGGUUCUAGGAAAACGCUCUGGAAAGAGCGGCCAUAGAAGGUGAUAGCCCUGUAUCUGAAAGGGCCAUUUCAGUGAAGACGAGUAGGGCGGGGCACGUGAAACCCUGUCUGAACAUGGGGGGACCAUCCUCCAAGGCUAAAUACUACUGACCGACCGAUAGUGAACCAGUACCGUGAGGGAAAGGCGAAAAGAACCCCGGAGAGGGGAGUGAAAUAGAACCUGAAACCGUGUGCGUACAAGCAGUAGGAGCUCCGCAAGGAGUGACUGCGUACCUUUUGUAUAAUGGGUCAGCGACUUACUGUUCGUGGCAAGCUUAACCGUAUAGGGGAGGCGAAGGGAAACCGAGUCUGAUAAGGGCGCAUAGUCGCGGGCAGUAGACCCGAAACCGGGUGAUCUAGUCAUGCCCAGGGUGAAGGUGCGGUAACACGCACUGGAGGCCCGAACCCACUCCCGUUGCAAAGGUAGGGGAUGAGGUGUGAUUAGGAGUGAAAAGCUAAUCGAACCCGGAGAUAGCUGGUUCUCCUCGAAAGCUAUUUAGGUAGCGCCUCAUAUGUAUCCUCUCGGGGGUAGAGCACUGUUAUGGCUAGGGGGUCAUCGCGACUUACCAAACCAUUGCAAACUCCGAAUACCGAGACGGACUGUAUGGGAGACACACGGCGGGUGCUAACGUCCGUCGUGAAAAGGGAAACAACCCAGACCCACAGCUAAGGUCCCAAAUUCACUGCUAAGUGGAAAACCAUGUGGAAAGGCACAGACAGCCAGGAGGUUGGCUUAGAAGCAGCCACCCUUUAAAGAAAGCGUAAUAGCUCACUGGUCGAGUCGGUCUGCGGGGAAGAUUUAACGGGGCUAAGCAGUGAACCGAAGCUUGGGGUGCAUAACUUUGUUAUGCGCGGUAGAGGAGCGUUCCGUAAGCCGUUGAAGGUGGAUUGAGAAGUCUGCUGGAGGUAUCGGAAGUGCGAAUGCUGACAUGAGUAACGAUAAUGCGGGUGAAAAACCCGCACGCCGAAAGCCCAAGGUUUCCUUGCGCAACGUUAAUCGGCGCAGGGUGAGUCGGCCCCUAAGGCGAGGACGAAAGUCGUAGUCGAUGGGAAGCAGGUUAAUAUUCCUGCACCUCGCGUAAGUGCGAUGGAGGGACGGAGAAGGUUAGGUGUACCAGGCGUUGGUUGUCCUGGGGAAAGGCGGUAGGUUUGGAUCUUUGGCAAAUCCGGGAUCCUCUAAGACCGAGCACCGAGACGAGCCUUUAUGGCAAAGUCACUGAUACCACGCUUCCAGGAAAAGCUCCUAAGCUUCAGCUUACGCAGACCGUACCGUAAACCGACACAGGUGGGUAGGAUGAGAAUUCUCAGGCGCUUGAGAGAACUCGGGUGAAGGAACUAGGCAACAUGGCACCGUAACUUCGGGAGAAGGUGCACCCUUUUUGGUGGCUCGUGCGAGCUAUAGCUGAAGAGGGUCGCAGUAACCAGGCCGCUGCGACUGUUUAUCAAAAACACAGCACUCUGCAAACACGAAAGUGGACGUAUAGGGUGUGACGCCUGCCCGGUGCUGGAAGGUUAAUUGAUGGGGUCAGCCGCAAGGCGAAGCUCUUGAUCGAAGCCCCAGUAAACGGCGGCCGUAACUAUAACGGUCCUAAGGUAGCGAAAUUCCUUGUCGGGUAAGUUCCGACCUGCACGAAUGGCGUAACGACAGCGGCGCUGUCUCCACCCGAGACUCAGUGAAAUUGAAAUCGCUGUGAAGAUGCAGCGUUCCCGUGGCAAGACGGAAAGACCCCGUGAACCUUUACUAUAGCUUUACACUGAACGUUGAGUUCGUCUGUGUAGGAUAGGUGGGAGGCUAUGAAACUGUGGCGCUAGCUGCAGUGGAGCCAUCCUUGAAAUACCACCCUGUCGUGCUUGACGUUCUAACCUGGGCCCAUUAUCUGGGUCGGGGACCGUGUAUGGUGGGUAGUUUGACUGGGGCGGUCUCCUCCUAAAGAGUAACGGAGGAGCUCGAAGGUACGCUCAGCGCGGUCGGACAUCGCGCACUGUGUGCAAAGGCAUAAGCGUGCUUGACUGCAAGAUCGACGGAUCAAGCAGGUAGGAAACUAGGACUUAGUGAUCCGGUGGUUCUGUAUGGAAGGGCCAUCGCUCAACGGAUAAAAGGUACUCCGGGGAUAACAGGCUGAUACCGCCCAAGAGUUCAUAUCGACGGCGGUGUUUGGCACCUCGAUGUCGGCUCAUCACAUCCUGGGGCUGUAGUCGGUCCCAAGGGUAUGGCUGUUCGCCAUUUAAAGUGGUACGCGAGCUGGGUUCAGAACGUCGUGAGACAGUUCGGUCCCUAUCUGCCAUGGGCGUUGGAGAUUUGAGAGGGGCUGCUCCUAGUACGAGAGGACCGGAGUGGACGAACCUCUGGUGUUCCGGUUGUCACGCCAGUGGCAUUGCCGGGUAGCUAUGUUCGGAAGCGAUAACCGCUGAAAGCAUCUAAGCGGGAAGCGCGCCUCAAGAUGAGAUCUCCCGGGGCACAAGCCCCCUGAAGGAACCAUGUAGACUACGUGGUUGAUAGGUCAGGUGUGUAAGUACAGCAAUGUAUUGAGCUAACUGAUACUAAUGAUCCGAGAGGCUUGACCAU